Molecule: long non-coding RNA, 231 nt
Filed under: Capsicum annuum
Lineage: Eukaryota; Viridiplantae; Streptophyta; Magnoliopsida; Solanales; Solanaceae
Description: long non-coding RNA (CANN_LNC015633)
Source: RNAcentral
AAAGAAGCCUGCACUCAGGUCCUUCUUUACGUUGUCACGGCCCAAUGGUCCGCUUGGUGCUAGCCUGGUUCUUGCCUUGCAUAGCACUUUCUCCAACUGCAAGCUCUGCUUGCCCAUGCCGUAGGCUUCACUGCCCACUCAUCCUGCAUGGCUCUCUUCUGUAGGGACUCUCCUGCCACUCCUCGCAAACCAUUGGAUGGCUAGGUCUAGGGACUCUCCUGCCACUCUUCG